CCUACGGGAGGCAGCAGUAGGGAAUCUUCCACAAUGGACGAAAGUCUGAUGGAGCAACGCCGCGUGAGUGAAGAAGGGUUUCGGCUCGUAAAACUCUGUUGUUAAAGAAGAACAUAUCUGAGAGUAACUGUUCAGGUAUUGACGGUAUUUAACCAGAAAGCCACGGCUAACUCCGUGCCAGCAGCCGCGGUAAU
This 194-nucleotide ribosomal RNA is filed under the name uncultured Lactobacillus sp. RNAcentral's name for it is "partial 16S ribosomal RNA". It matches the Rfam family "Bacterial small subunit ribosomal RNA", at positions 338 to 524 of the family's 1533-position model. Lineage: Bacteria; Bacillati; Bacillota; Bacilli; Lactobacillales; Lactobacillaceae. The record is from RNAcentral.